RNAcentral lists this ribosomal RNA (260 nucleotides) under uncultured eukaryote. RNAcentral describes it as "partial small subunit ribosomal RNA". The stretch from base 50 to 200 matches the Rfam family "Eukaryotic small subunit ribosomal RNA", at positions 1288 to 1460 of the family's 1831-position model. The record is from RNAcentral.
AGUGCGUAUCUCUACUUUAUCCCUCAAAUAUGUGUAACGUUUUCUAACCCCCUCCUAGGUUGGUGGAGUGAUCUGUCUGCUUAAUUGCGAUAACGAACGAGACCGUCGCCUGCAUUUCUACACCCGCCACUCCCGAGUGGCGCGGUGUUCAAUGAGGGACUACCUGUGCUAAACAGGGGGAAGUUGACGGCAAUAACAGGUGCGUAUCAUCUCUUGUAUUCCACUCCACAAAAUAGCGAAUUCUAACCCCCUCUCUAGGU